CCCCCCAUGUCAGUCACAUGCAUGCCACGUUCACUGGACAAGCACACAGUAGGAAACCAGAACAUCAUAACGUGUCCCACACAGCAGCUGACAGUGGGGUUACAGUAUAAAACUUGCGGGCCGCACUAACAUUACACUUUCAUAUUAAGGAUGGGGCCACAAAAUAUCGUCCCGAGGGCCGCGAGUUUGAGACCCCUGUGUUACAUGCUUGUUUAUUACUCAAGUUUCUCGCUCAUGGACGCAUUGGACUGUCCGUGAACGCCAGAGACCGUCUCAUUUGGAUUCCUAAUCGAUUUCAAUUUGGCACUUAAAUAAAUGGCUUUUACCAUAACUUUUCCACGCCAGAGCUAUCGACCUUUCAGUCAUGUGAUUAACCGCCGCCUCUUCUUAAACACAGAUGAGUGGGAGUAUCGCUUCACAUUCCAUCCGGUGUCGGACCUUCCUCCACCCGAGCCCUACGUACACUUCCAGAAGACGUACCCCAGCAAGCUGGGCAAGACUGACGGGAGAGAAAGUCAGGGUGUGUCCCCACAAUGUGCUGGCAAAAAUGAGCGAGGAGCUCCUCCUCUUCCUCCUUUACCCAGGUGAAGAAGAGGUGUCAGCAAACACGAACCCCGGGACUACUUUCUCUCUCUGUUUCGCUCAUUGGAACCUCUCCUGCGAACAAACGCGCUCUCAGUGCCUCGUACGAGUGAUUUAGGACUCCUUCACCGAUCAUCCCGUGUUUCGUAUUCUCUCUUUGGUACGACUUUAGCUUACCUGAGGUCCAGACCGGUUGUGCUGCUGUUAUUUAGGCCUUUAAAUAAUGGCUUGUUUAUUACUUUUAAGUAGUUUUUAACUCUCAGAAUUAUACUUCCUGAAUAUGUUGCUGUUAUUCUGUUCGAGGCCGAUUAUAAAUCUAAAUAUGCACAUAAGCACAACAAUAUCACUAUAAAACAGAGCCCAUUGUGUAACAAUAUCCAUACAAACAUCUUAACUAAUUCGACCCACUUGCUGUAGUGAGCGGUUCCCUUCCUUCCUUUAGCAGGUAUUUCUCUCUUUGUGCAUCUUAGAAAGCAGAAAUUCCACACAGGACACGUUGGGAGUAUUAUUUGUGUCCUUAUGCUGUUCCAAUGUGUCGGCCUUCAUCGUGUUCACGCUGGUCACGCAGUACGAGAACCUCCCGAUAACCGGUGGGCUUUUUUUGUACGAGAUGGACUCAAAGUUUGGUUUGAUAAUAAUAAUGUGCGUCUGUAGCAGUGAAGACCAAAGCCUGUUUAAUCUCCGGUACACCGUGUUCAGAGGGAAAACAAAAAAGUUGGACCUCCUUUUUGUCGCUGGACUUCAGUCAGAGGGCUUUGGUGACCUGGUUCCUGUGAGACAUUCCAUCAACUAACCGUUUUUUCACCCAUUUUCAUUUUACCGGGUAUAAUGGAUUCCAUAUUUUGCUUGCAAGACAUUAUAUUACACCAACCAGCUACGUCUCUUACGAAACAAAACACUUACUCGACAAGCAAACCAGCGUUGUUCAUGUAGCGCGUGCACCUGGGUCAGUAAAUGCAACCGAUCAGACGGGUUUAUCUCCUCUGCUGCCUCUCGACUCGCGUCGAGCCGUAAUUUUCUAUUCAGGAUUGUAUUUUCAGGCUGCUUCAAAGAGUUAAGGGAGUAAGCCGUCGGUGCCUUAAAGUGUGUGUGUUCAGCUGGAUUGAUCACCUCUGCUGAUGGUAAAAUGAAGCCUGCAGUAGAACACUCGGCCUAGCGAAGGAUCCACACGCAGGCCGACAUGCAACCCAACUGAGAAAUGACCACGACCUCUUUCCACCGCUGCAGAAACACGUCGGGGGGAAAAGGGAUGUGGUUAUUUAUUUAUUUUGACAUUUUUGCCAAAGCCAUGUGUGCCUUCAUAGUACAUGCAUCUCCAUCUGUGUCUUCUGUUGGAACCACUGAGCGGUACUUUUCUUUUCAUUGUUAACUGUGACGAUGUCUAUGAUUGUGAUGCUUUUUUGUUCAUUGGAAGACAUAUUUUUUUUAUUUACUAUUUUGCUAAAAGCUGCGUUAAUUUGGCACGAGGGGCCGUGUGUAUCUGAUUUAAUCAAGAGGUAUUGAAGGACUGUAUUAUUUUAAGUUAUGUUUCUAUCCUGUAAUAUGUUGUUUUGCUUCCCCGUGCUCGGCUUUGAAUGGUCUUUUGUACGUGGGAUGUGCUAUUAUCAUGUGUCGGUCAAAGAGACAAUCAUAUGGAAGUAAAGAUAUUUACAUCAAUAAAUAAAAAUGCUUUAAGAUGCUUAUUGUGCUUUACCU
Molecule: long non-coding RNA, 2277 nt
Organism: Gasterosteus aculeatus (three-spined stickleback)
Lineage: Eukaryota; Metazoa; Chordata; Actinopteri; Perciformes; Gasterosteidae
Source: Ensembl